AUCCCCUUACACUGUGUAUGACAGUAUUAUUAUUAUUAUUUUUUUUUUUUUGGAAUUGUUAGUUAGAUUACUUGCUCGUUAUUACUGCAUUGUCGGAACUAGAAGCACAAGCAUUUCGCUACACUCGCAUUAACAUCUGCUAACCAUGUGUAUGUGACAAAUAAAAUUUGAUUUGAUUUGAUUUGGUGUUCAGGCUAACUAGAGGAGGGUUAGGGGAGGAGGGGGAGAGUGGUGGUCAGGCUAACUAGAGGAGGGUUAGGGGGAGGAGGGGGAGAGUGGUGGUCAGGCUAACUAGAGGAGGGUUAGGGGGAGGAGGGGGAGAGUGGUGUUCAGGCUAACUAGAGGAGGGGGGAGAGUGGUGGUCAGGCUAACUAGAAGAGGGUUAGGGGGAGGGGGAGAGUGAGUGGUGGUCAGGCUAACUAGAGGAGGGUUAGGGGGAGGAGGGGAGAGUGUGGUGGUCAGGCUAACUAGAAGAGGGUUAGGGGGAGGAGGGGGAGAGUGGUUGUCAGGCUAACUAGAGGAGGGGGGAGAGUGGUGGUCAGGCUAACUAGAGGAGGGGGGAGAGUGGUGGUCAGGCUAACUAGAGGAGGGGGGAGAGUGGAGGCCAAUGGGUGGCUAGGACACGGUCACACUCUGACAAGAGUUUUGGGAUGGGGGCUAAGGUGUAGAAAUGGAGGAGCGGAGGGGAUUUCAAACUGUGGCCCUGUGCUGUGACAACGACAGUGUGUGUGUGUGUGUGUUUGGUCUGAGUGCGUGUGUGUGUGAGCUGUCUUCCCUAAAGGCACAGCUUGGUCCCAGCUCCCGGCCCUGGGAUGCCAUGAUAGCACAGAGGGACGAGGGGAGUGUGAUUAAUCUGUAGCCCCC
Long non-coding RNA from Oncorhynchus tshawytscha (Chinook salmon), 864 nucleotides. NCBI's taxonomy places the organism in Eukaryota, Metazoa, Chordata, Actinopteri, Salmoniformes, Salmonidae. The record is from Ensembl.